AUCGCUUCUUGUCCUUUUGGCUGAGAUCAACUGUAGUAUCUGUUAUUAUCAGCUUAAUAUCUGACACAUCCUCUCUCCGAGGACAUCAUAUUAAGUGGAGUUUUGGAGCUGGGAAAUGGAAUAGGAGCUUGCUCCAUCCACUCCAAACAUGGACCCGAUAAUGUGGUACUUCUGGAAAAGGUGCACCCCCU
Molecule: small nuclear RNA, 191 nt
Organism: Artibeus jamaicensis (Jamaican fruit-eating bat)
Lineage: Eukaryota; Metazoa; Chordata; Mammalia; Chiroptera; Phyllostomidae
Product: U2 spliceosomal RNA
Exons: 1
Source: RefSeq, a predicted model, not a curated record